AACAAGUUAGGAUAAAUUUUAGUCUGUUAGGUUCAUACCCUAAGGGUGUUCUUGUUGU
RNAcentral lists this transfer RNA (58 nucleotides) under Trichostrongylus axei. Its description in RNAcentral is "tRNA-Met". The record is from RNAcentral. Lineage: Eukaryota; Metazoa; Nematoda; Chromadorea; Rhabditida; Trichostrongylidae.